This 393-nucleotide ribosomal RNA is filed under the name uncultured bacterium. Its description in RNAcentral is "partial 16S ribosomal RNA". It matches the Rfam family "Bacterial small subunit ribosomal RNA", at positions 523 to 918 of the family's 1533-position model. The record is from RNAcentral.
AUACGGAGGAUGCGAGCGUUAUCCGGAUUCAUUGGGUAUAAAGGGUGCGUAGGCGGCCCCCCAAGUCAGCGGUGAAAUGUCCGGGCCCAACCCGGAGGGUGCCGUUGAUACUGGGGGGCUGGAGUACGGACGCCGGCGGAGGAAUGAGUGGUGUAGCGGUGAAAUGCAUAGAUAUCACUCAGAACCCCGAUUGCGAAGGCAUCCGCCGAGGCCGUUACUGACGCUGAGGCACGAAAGCGUGGGGAUAGAACAGGAUUAGAUCCCCUGGUAUUCCACGCCGUAAACGAUGAUGACUAACCGCCGGGGGGAGACUUCCGGCAGCCAAGCGAAAGCGAUAAGUCAUCCACCUGGGGAGUACGGCCGCAAGGCUGAAACUCAAAUGAAUUGGCGGGG